CUAUGUGCGGAAGGGAUAAGUGCUGAAAGCAUCUAAGCAUGAAGCCCCCCUCAAGAUGAGAUUUCCCAUAGCGUAAGCUAGUAAGAUCCCUGAAAGAUGAUCAGGUUGAUAGGUUCGAGGUGGAAGCAUGGUGACAUGUGGAGCUGACGAAUACUAAUAGAUCGAGGACUUAACCAU
This 177-nucleotide ribosomal RNA is filed under the name Bacillus cereus. Its description in RNAcentral is "partial 23S ribosomal RNA". It matches the Rfam family "Bacterial large subunit ribosomal RNA", at positions 2749 to 2925 of the family's 2925-position model. RNAcentral also lists the same sequence under 4 other names. The record is from RNAcentral. Lineage: Bacteria; Bacillati; Bacillota; Bacilli; Caryophanales; Bacillaceae.